This 11355-nucleotide long non-coding RNA is filed under the name Eutrema salsugineum. Its description in RNAcentral is "long non-coding RNA (ESAL_LNC000848)". Lineage: Eukaryota; Viridiplantae; Streptophyta; Magnoliopsida; Brassicales; Brassicaceae. The record is from RNAcentral.
CCACGUGACCGCCGGUCCCGGCCGCCGCAAUGGAGUUUUCGAUGUCGAGGCAUCGUUAAUAUUCGAGUCAUGGAUUGUCAAACACGGGAAGGUGUACGAUUCCGUUGCCGAGAAGGAACGGCGUUUAACGAUUUUCAAGGACAAUCUCCGUUUCAUCACUAACCGGAACUCUGAGAAUCUCGGUUAUCGACUCGGUUUGAACCGGUUUGCUGAUCUAUCUCUACAUGAGUACAAAGAAAUUUGUCACGGGGCUGAUCCAAAACCACCUAGGAACCACGUGUUUAUGAGUAGUAGCGAUCGAUACAAGACUAGUGCUGGUGAUGUGCUUCCUAAGUCCGUUGACUGGAGAAAUGAAGGUGCCGUGACUGAAGUAAAAGAUCAAGGCCAUUGCAGUAAGUGUUGUGAUUUUAAAGAUUCGAUCGGUUUGCUAAAACUUUUUUUAUUAUAUAUAUAUAUAUAUAUAUAAAAUUAUUAAAAUAUUAAAAACAGCUGAACAACGGUGUCUCUUGUGCUAUUUAUAAGGAUUUUAUUUGUCAAGAAUAAUAAAUAUUAUUUUCCUGUUAUAUGUUACAUUUGAUUACUAUAAAACGAUUCAAUCCAUUUUAGCUAAAAAUCAUUGUUAAAACUGAUAUAUUUAUAUAAGUAUAUCACCAGUUAGGCCACACCGGAUAUGAAAACGUUAGUGUUAGUUAAAAGAAACCAAGAAUCGACAUUUACUAGUUACCAUUAACAUUUCCGAUAUUUAAUUAGUCCAAAAAGUAUAAAUCUUCAUAUGCAUGCUUCGUUCUUGUGUGAAGGGAGUUGUUGGGCGUUCUCGACUGUGGGGGCAGUAGAAGGCUUAAACAAGAUCGUGACAGGAGAGUUAGUCACUUUGUCUGAGCAAGAUUUGAUCAAUUGUAACAAAGAAAAUAAUGGUUGCGGAGGAGGUAAAGUCGAGACUGCCUAUGAAUUCAUAGUUAGCAAUGGUGGUCUUGGUACCGACAACGAUUAUCCUUACAAGGCUGUUAAUGGAGCUUGCGACGGCCGCCUCAAGGUCGGUAUAGUUACCACCAAAUACAUACUCCCUCUGUUUCAUUAUAGUUGAUUUUCUAGGUUUUUUUUCUUGUUUCAUAAUAUUUGAUUUUUUACAUCUAAUUAAUGCACAUCUUUUCUUUAAGUUGAAUGAAUCAUAUUUAUGCAUGUUGCUUUACAAAAUUUAUUAAUUAUAAGCAUUAAUUAAAAGAGAGGAGAUGAAAAGCUCAGGUUAAAGUAAAAACCAGUAAUACUAAUAAAAGUAAUGAAAUUAAUUGUAAAAAUAACCUAAUUAAACAAAAUAAACAGCAAAUAAUUGAGCAUUUAUAACUUUCUUAAUCUGUAUGCAAAUAUUCAGAAAAUCAACUAUAAUGAAACAGAGGGAGUAUAUGAUUUAUCUAGUAACAAACAAAAAGAGAAAAUCAAUUUUCAAAUCUUUAAUUUUUCAAUACUACUUGUGUAGGAAAACAUCAAGAAUGUUAUGAUUGAUGGAUAUGAAAAUUUGCCUGCAAACGACGAAUUAGCUCUCAUGAAAGCGGUUGCUCACCAGCCUGUAACUGCCGUUAUCGAUUCUAGCAGCCGAGAAUUCCAGCUUUAUGAAUCGGUAAUAAAAAAAGAUUGCUUAAAAGUUUCGUUUACACAUGUCUUUUAAAGUUUUAUAACCGGAAAUUUCAGUCUAUAUAUAAUGCAUUGAAAUUUGUUUUCCCAUUCAAAAGGGAGUUUUUGAUGGAAGGUGCGGAACAAACCUAAAUCAUGGAGUUGUUGUGGUCGGGUAUGGAACCGAGAACGGUCGUAACUAUUGGAUCGUGAGAAACUCGUGGGGCAACACUUGGGGAGAGGCUGGCUACAUGAAGAUGGCACGCAACAUUGCCAAUCCAAGAGGCUUAUGUGGAAUCGCUAUGCGAGUUUCAUACCCUCUCAAGAACUCGUUUACUACCGGCAAAAGCUCCAUGGCUUAAUUAUAUGAACUAAAUGUAUGCUAUGCAAGGGAUCGAGUGAGCCAAUAACGUAUUCGACUUUGAAGUAAAAAUAAUGUAGUCGAUUGGUUUGGCUUUGUAAUAUAUUUUCGCUGUUUGGAGUUUGUAUAAUAUUUAUGGUUAUUUCGUUUCUAAUGAUUAAGAUUUUCCGUUUUCUAUCAUAAGGUUAAAACGUUCGGUUUCGAUUUCUUGAUAUAUGGCGCGGCCGCGCGGGUCUUUAGUUCUGGCCUGGGAUACUCGUGACUCGAGUCAACAUUUAAAUACUUGCAUAUUUAUUAUUUUUUAAUCAGAAAAUAUAAUAUUUAUAUUUAAACAAAAUAAACUUUACUUGAUUACAAACUUCAAAAUGGUUACACGAGUCAGGCAAGUUGGUACGAGUCAGGCAACAGUUGUUUAAACGUGAUAAAGGUGGGUCUGAAGACACAUGCAAUGUUCAUAGUCGACUGAUGUACCGUCGUUCGUGGGUCGUUCCCCAAAACAAAGGUGGAUCUGAAGACACAUAUGGAUGCGGUUACAACUCAUAACAGUGUGCUAUAUGCUGACGCGUAGCAUUUUUUUUUUCUUUUUUUAGACGCGUAGCUUUGUUACCUAAAGAUAACAAAGGGACUUGAAGUUUAUUUAACUUUUGUGGCUAUAAAGAUCGCCAAGGCGUCUUGAUGAUGAUGGACAUAAUUUACUGAAUUCACGAAGACUGAAAUUGUGCAUGGUGCACUGAUAUGUGCUGGAAAAAAAGUCUAACAGUUUAUGCAAAUACAGUCCAUCACACCUGUAUAUGCAACUGGCCUGAUUCGCAUUACCCCACUCCAAUAAUUAACCCUCAGGCAAAGUUUGUCACGUGAAACAAGUACCCAUGCAUUCUAGACCGAUAUGCGCCCCCACACAUUUAAAUAUGUCCGAUGUUGCUGCCAAUAAAUAAUCUUUUGAAACAUUGAUAAACUCUUGUAGGAAAACAUUAAUCCCAACCUGACGACGUCGACUGAUCAUAUAUAUAUAUAUAUAUAUAUAUAAUUAUUAUAUAAACUAAAUUUUGAAUAGAAUCUCAGAUAAAUCCUCAAAACUUAUGGAAAUGUGUAAAUAUCGAGAGACAAUUUGUAUGCAAUGCCAUCAAAGUGCGCAAGAAAUUGAGAGCUCGAUCGGCGAACCAAAAUGUAUUUCAAAAAUAUGAAAAAAAUCAUACUGAUGAUCAGUGAUCAGGAUAAGAAAAUAUUUUUAAAAGUAGGAACAUCUUUAAGUCUUUUUAAUUUUGGCCAGUAGAAGCUAAAAUGUUUAUAUAGUAGUAGUGGUGGAAUAAUUUUGUUAUAUAUAUAUAUCGUCACUGUGGCUCGGGGUCGGUGUCACAAUAAUGGAUCAUGACAUUAGAACUUUAAUUAGUUUCCAACGUUAUACAUGCUUAUAACAUCUCCAUCGUUAGCUCACCUGAAAGAAAAGCACUAAGGACGAAACUUCUGAUUAUGGGAUUGAGUUAAUGGAACAUACUCUGAUCCCAAACUUGGAGAUGUAUGAGUUUCAACCCAUAACCUCUUAAGUAAUCAUAAACAUACAUCCAUGGUUGCAUAUGUAAUUUAUCUGUAUAUAUAUGAAAUCAGACAUGUAACAUAAUAUCAAACAAAUAUGAGUCCACUACACAAACAAAUGUGGGUCUACCACAUACUCAUAUCUUAUAUCAAACAAAUGCGGGUCUGACAGACUAGCUACCACAAACUAUUAUUUUUCAAAUAUUCAAAUUUUUGUCGUGGUAUGUAGAAGAUCAAUCCCAACGAGGCGAUAAUGGCAUUUGCAUGUAGGGUUGCAGGAAGAAGAGAGAUUUGCAAUAUAUAGACUUUGACAGAUACCAUUCCUUCUUCUUUCUGUUUGUCUUGUAAACAAAAUCAACCAUUUUAAUCUGAACUUUUCUUGUGUUUGAUAGAAAUGAAAAAAUAAAUACUCGUUACAGAAAAAAAAACGAUCAGAUAAGAAAACAGACAUUUUAUAUCUUUUGAUUGAUUUUUUGAUACUUUUCUCGUAGCCGCCAUAGAAAUCUUCCAUUUUUUAAGAUUCUCCUUAUAUCAUGAUUCUUUACUGACUCGACUGAACUGAGUUCGAUGGGCCUUGGCAACUCUUGACGGGCCGAAAUAACUUGAAUCAAGGCGGGAAAACCAUAGUGGGCUGAGUUGGGUCAACAUGAGCGAAACCGGACCGACAGAGAUUGAUAUACCGAAUUUAAUUGAACUGGACUUAGACCAGAUCCAUUAAAGGGUCUUCUACAAUUUUGGGCACAGAAUCAUAGGCUUUUUGGGUUUUAAAAAAAAAGAAAAAAGACCCAACUCGGAAGGAGAGGUUCAUCCCGUCGAGCCUGAAGACUCUGCAUGCGAACCACAUGGCAUAAGGCGAUUGGCUGUGGAAAACGCGUCAUUUUGGGAGAAAAAAAAACCGCAGAAAGAAAACAUUUUCUCUUUCCCCGAUUUUUUCUUCUCUCGUUCGUGUUCUUUGGCGAUUCAGGGCGAUUCCGUCGUCACCGCCUGUUCCGUCGAUUAUUCUCGGUGGAGGUGCAAUCCGAACAUCGAUCUUCCGUCCCCAUAGUCCUGGUAAGCUUCGGUUCCUCGUAGUUUUAAUUGUUGAUUUCGAUUUCGCGAUUCUAGGGUUUGCGAUUUUUGGGGAAAAAAAUCGGGUUGAAAUCAGGUGUUUUUUUGUUCGAUUUCGGUGGAUUAGAGGUUCGACGGUUGUCUUUGGUACCCCAAAUCUAGUAUUCGGUACGAAUUUAGUAGAUUUGCAAACCCUAGAUUCGUUGAAAUUAGGGUUUUCGAAAUUGUUUACAAAUUUUGGGGCUUUCAUUUGGGAUUGCAAUUGGCGUCUAAUUCGUUCAUUUAAAACCGUCAUAUCCUUACUUCGAAUACGAUUUCAUGGUUUUAAGAUUGAAAAUCUGAAUAUUGUUGCGAUGAACUAAGUUUUUUCUAUCUCGGGGGUUUAUUUGGGGCUCUGUGUUGGUAUUCAAACUGGGUCACUCUCGAUACAUUAUCAAGAUUCGUGUGUAUCUUAAAAGCCAUUUGCUUCUUAUUUGUUGUUUGCUAAAUGGUAUUUUGCUAUAUGAUUGGCUUCUUAUUUGUUGUUUGCUAUAUGGUUAUAUGAACUGGUUAAUCGCUUAUGAGUUUUUGGUUGAAAUGGUUACUCAUUUGUUGUUUGCUAUAUAUUAGUAGAUGAUAUGAUCAUAUUGCAUAAGUUCAUAUCAUAUUGUAAUCGUGUGAGUUCAUAUAGUUUUGCUGAUCAUAUUGUUUUGUGGCAGAUCAUGCCAAGCUACAGCAGCGGUUCAUCUGAAGAAGGCUCAGAGGUUCCUUAUUGGGCUUACGCCGAUGCCACUUAUGACAUACCGGCGAAGUGCUUAUGCGGCAGGGAGGUGAAGCUGAAAGAAAACGCCGCCGGUCGCAAGUAUUAUGCUUGUCCAGAAUGGAUUAAUGAGGUUAGUUAUUUAUGUAUAUUACUUUGUUUUUUUUGUUCAGUUUGUUCAUUUAACUCAUCUUUUGGACCUCCUUAACUCUUUGCUAACACUUUGUGUUGAAUGUAGGGCUCAUUCGACCACAUCCACCAAUGGUGGGAUCAUGCGGUCACAGAGCAAUGCGAAAUCCUCGCGACAAGGAUAGAAAAUCAGAGGGAGUUGAUCGUGAGUGCUGAUCGUGGUAGAAUGAACUUUGUCGAUCCGGUUAUAGGAGAAGUCCGUGGGGAACAAGCAAGACUUGAGGGAGAACUCCGUGAGGAGUUAGCAAGGCUUGAUGGAGAAGUCAGGGUUUUGAAGGAGCAAAUUGGUUCUCAAGGUGACAGUCUUUCUACCCUGUUCUUUAUGUGUGUUAUUGGACUGUUCGCAUAUAUCUUAAGGGUUUAGAACUGGGUUAGGAUUGAUUACUAAGUAGGGUAACAUUAAUUUUUUUACUUCGGCUCAAUUAAUGUACUUGUUUUAAUUCUCUUUUUAUCUUUUGUUGUGAGGAUAAUAUGGACUCAACGGAACAAGGGUUUGACUUCAUGGCAUAUGGUUCACCGAUGGCAUAUGGUCCACCGAAACAGGUUAGUUCUCCUGUAACUUAAUGGUUUAGUUGAGUAGUUUAGAUGGAACGUGGUAUAUUUGUGUUUAUUGCUUGAUAGGACAUGUUAGGUGUAGUAAUUAUAUCCACCUGUUCUCAAAAACUCUCAAAACUUGUUCGGAAACAUAAAGACACGCUUUUACUAAUAAUAAGACACUCAACCAACACUUACAAGACACAUAACCACUACCAUUAAGACACUUAAAAGACAUUCAACCAUAAAUCAAUUUACUCUCUUUUAACAAAUCCUUUACUUAUCUACUUCUAUACUGCAAACUUCCUUUUUCUCUUUUAUUCUCUUCACUCUUUCUUUCACGCUUCACUUCACUCUUUCUCUUUCGCUUCUUCUUCACUCUUUCACCUUGUUAACUAUCAUUAUUUCCUUUCUCCCUUCUUUCUUUCACACUUUCUUUCAUCGACAUGGAUUCUCAGAACUCAUUUACGCCCUCUGAAGGGUUUGUUCACCUUCUAAGUAGUCAGUUAAACCCUGAAUCGUACUCUCCGUGCAUAGACUUAGGAUCAUCAUACAUUUUGUUUAGCACACAAGGAUCUGAUGGUCCUUCUGAUAUUGCAUUGAAGAGAAAACUCUGGAGUCCGAAGGAAGACUUGCUCCUGAUUAGUUCUUGGCUCAACACCAGCAAGGAUCCCAUAGUGGGCAAUGAACAAAAAGCCGGUGCAUUCUGGAAGAGGAUCCAGAUCUAUUACAACGGAUGCGAGGAGCUUGGAGAUCUGCCAAGAAGAGAAUGGUCGCAGUGCAAGCAACGAUGGGGAAGGCUUAAUGACCACGUAUGUAAAUUUGUGGGUUCAUACGCAGCUGCACAGAAAGAAAAAAAUAGCGGUCAGAAUGAAAACGAUGUGAUGAAGCUUGCACAUGAAAUUUUUUUCAACGACUACGGCAUUAAGUUUGCCCUCGAACACGCAUGGAGAGAGCUGAGGUUCGACCAGAAAUGGUGCACGACCAGCUCACAAAAGGAUGGCGCAACAGUCAAAAAGAGAAAAGUAGAAGACUCGGCACAGUCAUCAUCGUCGAUGCCUGGAAGCGUGAAUGAAAGUGAAGUUGAGGCUCGCCCUCCUGGUGUCAAGGCUUCGAAGGCCAAUGCGAAGAAAGCAGGCGGUGUUAAGGGUGAAAACAAGGAUAUGAAAGAGUUUUCUUCCAUGUGGGAUAUGAAACAUAAGGACCUUGAAAUGAAAGACAAGAUUAGGGACAAGAGGAUUCUUGAGAGCCUCUUAGCUAAGCAUGGACCGCUAACUGAGAUUGAAAUCUCAUUGAAAAACAAGUUGAUCAGUUCUGUGUAUGGUCUUUAGGGUACAUCUAUUCAGUCGGUAUGGUUUGGACAGAACAACAAGUUAAUGGCUGUUGUUUUUUCCUUAACUCUAUUCAGUCGGUAUGGUUUGAGUGAGAUUCUUCUUUGCCUUAGAAUAUGAUCUUUCAUGUAUUAAGUUGUUGUUUUAUGUUUGGUAUGAUCUUCUAUUUCAUUUUGGUUUUUUCUUGCUUAAAGAUUGAUAUUCAUUCGGUAUGGUUUGAGUGAGAUUGUUCUUUGCCUUAGAAUAUGAUCUUUCAUGUAUUAAGUUGUUGUUUUAUGUUUGGUAUGAUCUUCUAUUUCAUUUUACUUGCUUCUGACCUGCACGUUUUUUUUUUUCAGGAAGUGUCACAGCAAGUUGGGCAGUACAACAACCCUGACACGUCCGUGACUAUAUGCUCAAAUCAAGGAGGGGCCAAUUGCUGUUGUUGUUUUCCCUUGUUACCGCAUAUUUUGUCUUGUAAUAUUGACCAUACGUUCCCAAGUAGAAUUGUAGCCACAUCUUUGAACUUCAAGCCGUCUAUUUAUAUGUCUUCUAACUAUUGUAUGUUCAUUCGUAGCAAAUUUCCUUCUUCCUCAUUUUCUCAUAUUGAUCUGCAAUCACUUCAUCUUUCCUUUUUUAAAAAAAAAGUCUCUCUCCCACACAAAAACCAAAUACGGUUUAUCAAGCACAUAACUUGGUAAACUUCUUUUAUAUUCAAAAACUCUUUCUCUCCUUAUCCCUAACCACAAAUUUCUAAAUACAAUACUAUGGCGGCAUCAUCAAGCAAUGAUCGAUUGGAUGAUGCAUAUGAUGAUGCAGUAGAUGAUGCAUUUGAUGAGAAGUUGGAAGCCAUGUUCAAUUCGCUUGUCAAACAAAAUGAAGAAAAAAUGAAAAAGAAAAAAAGAGCGUACAUUGAAAGAGAGCGUGAAAAAGGCCACUUGCGGUUAUGGAAUGAUUAUUUCAGUGAUGAUGCAACUUAUCCGCCACAUAUUUUCCGACGACGAUUUAGAAUGACCAAAGAUUUGUUCAUGCGUAUUGUCAACCGACAUGCCAAUGAGGUUCCGUACUUCCAGCAAAGAAGAAAUGCCACCGGAAGAUUAGGGCUAUCUCCUCUACAAAAAUGCACGGCAGCAAUCCGUAUGAUGGCAUAUGGUACCGCAGCGGAUGCAGUUGACGAAUAUCUCCGGCUCGGUGCUAGUACGGCAUUGUUAUGCUUGGAACAUUUCACUGAGGGUAUAAUAUCCUUGUUCGGAAAUGAGUAUCUAAGAAGACCCACAGCUGAUGAUCUUCAACGGUUACUGAACAUUGGAGAGGAACGGAGCUUUCCCGGAAUGAUAGGAAACAUCGAUUGUAUGUAUUGGGAGUGGAAGAAUUGUCCAACUGCAUGGAAAGGACAAUAUACACGCGGGUCAGGAAAACCGACAAUCGUUUUAGAGGCAGUUGCAUCACAAGAUCUUUGGAUAUGGCACGCAUUUUUUGGACCUCCAGGUAGAUUAAAUGAUAUUAACGUUCUUGAUCGUUCACCAGUUUUUGAUGACAUCUUGCAUGGUCGGGCUCCAAAAGUGAGAUAUUCGGUAAACGGUAACGAGUACCGUUUGCCAUACUAUCUCACAGACGAAAUUUAUCCUAAAUGGGCAACAUUUAUACAAUCAAUUCAUCUUCCUCAAGGAGAGAAAAACAAAUUAUUCGCAACAACUCAAGAAUCCGUCCGGAAAGAUGUGGAGCGGGCUUUUGGCGUUCUUCAAGCCAGAUUUGCAAUAAUAAAAAAUCCGGCUCUUUUUUGGGAUAAAGAAAAAAUUGGCAAGAUUAUGCGGGCCUCUAUCAUAUUACACAAUAUGAUAGUAGAAAACGAACGACUUGUCUACAUUCGAUACAAUUUAGAAGACUUCCAUCAAGAUGAAGGAAGCAGAAAUUCGCCUGUUGAUAUAAGCGUAUUCUACCCGUAUGCCUACAAAUGUCUUAAAUUUGAUGAUGACAAAACGAAACGAAGUCCGUGACAACCAGAUACAUGAACGAUUAAAAGAGGAUUUAAUAGAAAAUAUUUGGAAUAAAUUUGGUUAACUUUUUUAAAAUUUUAAAAUAUUGUAUGUUUCUAAUUUUCUUGUAUUAAAUUUUACUCUUAUAUAUUGUAUGUUCUAAAAUAAAAUAAUGUGUAAUAAAUUGUAUUUCUUUUAUUAUAAUAAAUGUGUGUUUUUUGUUUUAAAAAAAUAUUCUAAACUUCAAAAAAAAAUAUUUUUUUUCCGGGAUGAACCUCAAAAUGGAAUUCACUACUGGAACCUCCAUUUUCACCCGAGUUCUUCCCAAACCACCCAACAAAAAAAUAUUGUUUUUUAAUGCUCAUAAACCCCUCUAUGGAGUUUACUAGUGGACAUGCUCUUAGUUUGAGACGUGCUCUUUGCAGGGUGCAUAGCUCACCUCCAACAAUACUUACAAUGCGUAGCACACUUCCAACAAUACUUGCAACAGUAGGUUUUCCCACAGAUUAAAAAAAAAAAAAAAAAAAGCAAAUUCUGAGUACUAUAAAAACGUGUCAUUUGUAAGCCAAAAUAACACAACACAAAAACCUCCUCUCUUCUUUUUAUUUUUUUUUAACUUAUAAAAAAUACAAAAACAAAUCAAAGUUUCAUUAGUGCUGCUCCGAAAAGAAAAUGGGUAGUGCUAAAUCAGCCUUGCUGAUCCUCUUACUAGUAAUGGUCAUCGCAUCUUGUGCCAGGGCCAUAGACAUGUCCGUCGUUACAUACGAUGAUAACCACCACGUGACCGCCGGUCCUGGCCACCAUCAAACCGCCGGUCCCGGCCGCCGCAACGGAGUUUUCGAUGUCGAGGCAUCGUUAAUAUUCGAGCCAUGGAUUGUCAAACAUGGGAAGGUGUACGACUCCGUUGCUGAGAAGGAACGGCGUUUAACGAUUUUCAAGGACAACCUCCGUUUCAUCACUAACCGUAACGCUGAGAAUCUCGGUUAUCGACUCGGUUUGAACCGGUUUGCUGAUCUAUCUCUACAUGAGUACAAAGAAGUUUGUCACGGGGCUGAUCCAAAACCACCUAGGAACCACGUGUUUAUGAGUAGUAGCGAUCGAUACAAAACUAGUGCUGGUGAUGUGCUUCCUAAGUCCAUUGACUGGAGAAAUGAAGGUGCCGUGACUGAAGUAAAAGAUCAAGGCCAUUGCAGUAAGUAUUGUGAUUUUAAAGAUUCGAUCGGUUUGCUAAAACUUUUUUUAUAUAUAAUUAUUAAAAUAUUAAAAACAGCUGAAAAGUAAAAUGUACAACGGUGGCUCUUGUGCUAUUUAUAUGGAUUUCAUUUGUCAAGAUAAUAAAAAAAAUUCUGUCUUCUAUGUUAUAUUUGAUUACAAAAACAUACGAUUAAAUUCAUUUUUCUUGAAAAAUCAUUGUUAAAAACUGAUAGAUUUAUAAGUUAGUGUUAGUUAAAAGUUAAAACCUACAAUCGACACUUUUUUUUAAAAGGAUUCAACCUAGAAUCGACACUUACUAGUUACCAAUAACAUUUCUCGAUAUUUAAUUAGUCCAAAAGUAUACAAUCUUCAUAUGCAUGCUUCGUGCUUGUGUGAAGGGAGUUGUUGGGCGUUCUCGACUGUGGGGGCAGUAGAAGGCUUAAACAAGAUCGUGACAGGAGAGUUAGUCACUUUGUCUGAACAAGAUUUGAUCAAUUGUAACAAAGAAAAUAAUGGUUGCGGAGGAGGUAAAGUCGAGACUGCCUAUGAAUUCAUAGUUAACAAUGGUGGUCUUGGUACUGACAACGAUUAUCCUUACAAGGCUGUUAAUGGAGCUUGCGACGGCCGCCUCAAGGUCGGUAUAGUUACGGCCAAAUAUAUAAAUGAUAUAUCUAGCAACAAACAAAAAGAGAAAUCAAUUUUCAAUAUCUUUACUUUUUCAAUACUAUUUGUGUAGGAAAACAAUAAGAAGGUUAUGAUUGAUGGUUAUGAGAAUUUGCCUGCAAACGACGAAUUUGCUCUCAUGAAAGCGGUUGCUCACCAGCCUGUAACUGCCGUUAUUGAUUCUAGCAGCCGAGAUUUCCA